AGAAGGUUUUCGGAUCGUAAAGCUCUGUUGUAAGAGAAGAACGAGUGUGAGAGUGGAAAGUUCACACUGUGACGGUAUCUUACCAGAAAGGGACGGCUAACUACGUGCCAGCAGCCGCGGUAAUACGUAGGUCCCGAGCGUUGUCCGGAUUUAUUGGGCGUAAAGCGAGCGCAGGCGGUUAGAUAAGUCUGAAGUUAAAGGCUGUGGCUUAACCAUAGUAGGCUUUGGAAACUGUUUAACUUGAGUGCAAGAGGGGAGAGUGGAAUUCCAUGUGUAGCGGUGAAAUGCGUAGAUAUAUGGAGGAACACCGGUGGCGAAAGCGGCUCUCUGGCUUGUAACUGACGCUGAGGCUCGAAAGCGUGGGGAGCAAACAGGAUUAGAUACCCUGGUAGUCCACGCUGUAAACGAUGAGUGCUAGGUGUUAGACCCUUUCCGGGGUUUAGUGCCGUAGCUAACGCAUUAAGCACUCCGCCUGGGGAGUACGACCGCAAGGUUG
Molecule: ribosomal RNA, 496 nt
Filed under: uncultured bacterium
Lineage: Bacteria
Description: bacterial SSU rRNA
Rfam family: Bacterial small subunit ribosomal RNA
Source: RNAcentral